AGCGAACGCUGGCGGCAUGCCUAACACAUGCAAGUCGAACGAACCCUUCGGGGCUAGUGGCGGACGGGUGCGUAACACGUGGGAACGUGCCCUUAGGUUCGGAAUAACUCACGGAAACGUGUGCUAAUACCGAAUGUGCCCUUCGGGGGAAAGAUUAAUCGCCUUUAGAUCGGCCCGCGUCUGAUUAGCUAGUUGGUUGAGGUAAUGGCUCACCAAGGCGACGAUCAUUAGCUGGUCUGAGAGGAUGAUCAGCCACAUUGGGACUGAGACACGGCCCAAACUCCUACGGGAGGCAGCAGUGGGGAAUCUUGCGCAAUGGGCAAAAGCCUGACCCAGCAAUGCCGCGUGAGUGAUGAAGGUCUUAGGGUUGUAAAAUUCUUUCACCGGGGACGAUAAUGACGGUACCCGGAGAAGAAGCCCCGGCUAACUUCGUG
This 434-nucleotide ribosomal RNA is filed under the name uncultured bacterium. RNAcentral describes it as "partial 16S ribosomal RNA". It matches the Rfam family "Bacterial small subunit ribosomal RNA", at positions 29 to 507 of the family's 1533-position model. The record is from RNAcentral.